Molecule: ribosomal RNA, 211 nt
Filed under: uncultured bacterium
Lineage: Bacteria
Description: partial 16S ribosomal RNA
Rfam family: Bacterial small subunit ribosomal RNA
Source: RNAcentral
UUCGGAUUGUAGUCUGCAACCCGACUACAUGAAGCCGGAAUCGCUAGUAAUCGCGGAUCAGAAUGCCGCGGUGAAUACGUUCCCGGGUCUUGUACACACCGCCCGUCACACCAUGGGAGUCGGAAAUGCCCGAAGCCGGUGACCCAACCCGAAAGGGAGGGAGCCGUCGAAGGCAGGUCGGAUGACUGGGGUGAAGUCGUAACAAGGUACC